AUAUCCUUCUCAGCCUUUUGGCUAAGAUCAAGUGCAUCUGUUCUUAUCUAUUCUUAUCAGUUUCAUAUCUGAUACGUCCCCUGUCCGGGCACCAUAUAAAAUAAAUUGCUUUUUGGAACAGGGAGAUGGAAAAAGGGCUCUGUCCACUCUACGCAUCAACCUGGUAUUGCAGCACUUCUGGGAAUGGUGUUAGGGAG
Molecule: small nuclear RNA, 197 nt
Organism: Cyprinodon tularosa
Lineage: Eukaryota; Metazoa; Chordata; Actinopteri; Cyprinodontiformes; Cyprinodontidae
Product: U2 spliceosomal RNA
Exons: 1
Source: RefSeq, a predicted model, not a curated record